AGUCAAACGGCACGAUGAGCCGCGUUUCCAGCCACUUGACGGCCUCGAUCGAAUCGUUGGUUAUGGCACACCACAUGAGCAGCCCAAUGUCGACAUCCUUGGCGUAGCGUGUCACCAAUAGGUCGAGCGUUUUGACCUCGUCGACGGUGACUGCCGAAGCGGCGGCCGCGCGCACCGCGAGCCUGUCGGGUUCGCCCCACCGCGCGAUACAGGGACCUGCGCCAUCCAGCGUCCAUCGCAUGACGCUGUCGUCCCCGUGCACGGUGGCGCCGACGAGUACGGGCGUGAUCGUCGGGCACAGGUCCAGUUGGGCCACCAUGGUCAGGACGUCCAGAGCGCCCUUGCGCGCCGCGCGGUACACGGCAUGACCGAUCUCACGCUCGUUGUCUCGGCACACGGUCCUCAAAUCGUGUGCCUCCAUAAAGCGCAACAUGUCGGUGUGGCCCUUGCGGAUGGCGUAUGCCGCACGGUCGGCGGUGAACGACACAAAGCCCUGGCAGCCCGUCUCCGCCAUCCAUUCGAUCAUGUCGGGCCGCGCCGACUUCCAGGCCGCGUCGCCCACCCUGGAUGUGCAUGUACAGUGCGGGUUGUCAUAGACCUGCAUGUCGUGCGCGUAGAUGAGCGUGUCGAGACAUUGGGCGACGGCCGCGGUGUAGGCCAGCCGGUCGCCAUAGCGUAGUUCCUUGCGCGCGGUGCGCGACGUUCGGAUCAGGUGGCGCACAAUGGCAGUGAGACCGUGCGACGCUGCCAAUACCGUGGCCUCGACCGUCGAGUUACCAAUCGAGCGGUUGUUGGCGUGCGUAAUCACUGGCGGCGGCACGCCGUCGUCGCUGUCUUGUUGCUCGCAACCGCCGGCCGUCUGCGUGCGCGCGUGCAAGUGCCGACGAGAAACCCCCAAAAAAACAUGGGACAAAGGGAAAGAGAGGCCAACACAGAGGCAGUUUAGAUGCUGUCGCGUGUCAAGUCCACCAUCACAGGCAGACAUCCGCGAGCGCACGAGCAAGCCAACGAGCAAACGCGCGCACACGCCCAUAAAAAAGGGAGGACUAUGGGUGGGGGAAUAAAAUAGAAUAGGCGAAGCGCACGAACCAAGAGGCUACUCAGAACAAGAGCAAUGACGUCGAAACGCUUGCCAUUGACAGCGUCAACGAUGGCCGAGAUGCUGAGAGUGCGCGCGCGCAGUGCUAUAGCCGCGAUGAUGAUCUCGACCGGUGCGCCCGACGCCAACAGUCGGUGCAUGCGUUGCGCACCCCACCGCACGGCGAGGUCGGCCGGCGAGACCGAGACAAAGAGCGUCGAUGCGCAUCGCAGCGCCCACAGGUCCGAAGGCCGUUCGAUCGCCGCAGUGAUUUUGGCCAGGAUUUCAGGCGGCAUCGCCGUCAAGUACGCAACCGACGGCGGCGUGUCGUCUGUGGCGGGGCCGCACUGUGCGCUCGUCACAUCGACGUCCAUGCUUUUGGUGCCUUUUUUCCUCACGUUGCUCGAUCCUCUUUCUUUCCUGGUGUUUGGCGCGUGGGCCUCGUGUGCUGUCUUGGCGCCCAAAAAAAGGGUGUGACAGAAAUGCAAAAGACCGCCAAAGGCGUCUCUGCCC
Molecule: long non-coding RNA, 1591 nt
Filed under: Pandoravirus neocaledonia
Description: hypothetical ncRNA
Source: RNAcentral